Dromaius novaehollandiae (emu) is the source of this 3186-nucleotide long non-coding RNA. RefSeq lists it as uncharacterized. The record is from RefSeq and is a predicted model, not a curated record. Lineage: Eukaryota; Metazoa; Chordata; Aves; Casuariiformes; Dromaiidae. The transcript has 4 exons.
UAAUCCUUUUAGGUUAGUGAUAUAUAGUGCAGUAAUUAUACAGUGGCAAAUAGUGUAAAUAUGUGUGUAAUUUCAGCAAUUGAAACACUGCCAGUUCUUCUGAAUUAUUAAAAACAUGGAUUUUGGAAGGGAGCAAGAAACAGCUAUCUACUCUUUCCCGUCUACUUUUUCCCCCUCUUCCUAUGUUUUUGUAUGUUUAGAUCAUGUCUGAUACGUAUGGAUUAAGCAGUCAUUUCGGGCUCCCUCAGUUCCAUUACAUUUAUCAGGAAUUGGGCUCAGACCAGCACCGAUCUUGCCGUGCUGCCUGCCUUUGCGCGCUGGGAGCGAGCACGCGCGGCCCUGGCAGCCUCGGCAGCGUGGGGAGCGGCCGCGGGAGGAGGCCCGGCUGGACCUGGAAGCGGCUCCGCGCGCCCGGAGAUUUCAGUUCUGCUUGUUUCAGAAAUGAACCACUACUACGACUGCGAGGAGAGGAGCUGAUGACACCCACCCACCGCCCUUCCCCACGAUGUCUGAAUUUCACAUGCAAGAACACAGAAACCACAGGUCUGUCACCAAGGGAAGGAGGCUUCAGGCACAGCUUUUGCAUUUCGUCUCUGGAUAUAUUUUUAACAACAGCCUGGAAGGAACAGUGGAUACAAGGAUUUGCACGUAAAAUUUCCCAUAGAAACAGUGGUGGGAGAAUUUAUUAUUUUUUUACCUCCCGUUCCACUGCAAAGGAGGAAUGUGCAUAUAGGAAAACCCAAUUUUAAGGAGGCUUUCUUUGCAGCAGUUUUACUCUGAGACUGGCUAACCACUGACAUAAUUACCCCGCUGGUGUGUGUGCACCCACAUGCCAUGCAAGCCUGCAACUGCUGCUGAACCGAGCGUCCUAGCUCUGCUCACCACUCAUGAUUGAUAGAAAAAUCAUGACUAAUCAUGUGGACUAAAAUCAGGUGGACUAAGACACAAAUGGAAAUAACCAGUACUCUUGAUUACGCUCAUUUGAAUGGAAUUUGGGAUAACAUCUGCUGCCCCCUUUAAAGUGUGAGCGGACCUACAGCUUUGAGCUCACGGACCUCUCCUCUCCUGAUGUUCACCGAAAGAGUUGUUGCUCCUGGGUCAGCAGGUGCCGAAGACCCCCCUGCCCUGCGCGCUGCCCGCACACCCUGGGCCGGGGCGGGCUGAAUCCCACUCCUGGCCAGGCUUUUCGGCCAUCCACCCUUGGAGCCUGGAGAAACCAGAAUCCCAGAAGCAGAAGAAAGUCUGACCACGUUAUCUGUUCAACAUCUCUCUGUUUUCUUCAUGGCCAGACUUUCUGGGUGUCUCAGCUGGCAACUUUGUGCAGGCUUCUAGUUUCCUUCCUCACUGAAAAAAGUGUGCAAUUGGGACCUGUCUUUUACCAGCGUACAGAAAAGAAGCUGAUUGGAGCCAAAGUCGUCAGCAGACACCUCCUCUCCACCCUUAGAUGUACAGGUAAGAUAUCUACAAGGACCAACAUUGAACAGAAAUAAAGCUCUGAUGCUUGUCUGGCUUUUGAUCUUUACACAGGUAUCGACCUGCUGAGCCUGGUUAACUUUCUCUGCAUUGAUUAAUGCAGCUCCGUGCCAGGAAACGAGUAAGCGAGAGUUGUUUGCCUCCUAUACCAAACUGGAGAUAUGCUUGGAAAAAAACAAAAAGGUAGCAAAGGUAUCCUCUGCACCUCCGCUGAGCACGACCGACUGGUGCCGCUGACCUCCGCGGAGCCGUGCCGCUCUCUGGCUGCCGAGUCUCCAGCCUACUGAUUCCUGGUUGUGAAGCAGGUUCAGCCCAAGGAUCACAGGGGACAGAUACCUCCUUCAGAAAUAAGAAGCAGAAGAAAAACAUCCAAGCAGAAGAAUUGGAAGGCAAAGGGAAAGAAACGGAUGGGGAUUGCAACUGAAAAAUUAAUGAAGAGAGACCUCGUUUCACAAAGCUUAUAUAAAGUCGGGCUGCAUCUGUGCAAGAAACAGUGACCUAGAAAGAGACAUCUGCAAAACUUUACAGCAAGGUGCAAAACUUGGUAGCCUCUUUCUCUCUGAGUCACACCUACACUAGCACACAAGGAUCCCUCGUUUACAGCCACUGGAAACUUACCUUUAAACUUUCUACCUCUUUCCUCCCUCUUCUACAAGGUACUGACUCGGGAAGUCCGGCUCUCCAGUGCACACCAAGAAGUCCAUUGCUGAGUGCAAGUUCAGAGAAACUGGUUUGUGUUCCUGGAACAGCUUAUGCCACAUUUAUCUUGAGAUAUCAGACUUCCUAAUGUAGCUAUUUUUUUUCCCGUCCAUUUAUCAUGUAUGCAUAUUAGUACUUAGCUUCUGGCCAAGAUGAAACCUUUUCUAAUACUACUCCCGUCCAUCUGGCUGCCCUGAUGAAAAUUCUUUUUCUGGAAUGCUUGGAUUUGUUCCCAGUAUAGGUAAGCUGGUAAAUUUGUGCUUGUGGGUGUAUAAGAGCAGCAGAAAUCUGCAGGAGUCGCUCUUAAAAAUAAAAAUAAAAAAGGCAACCUGGAUAGUGCAAGGAAGGAUGGGGAAUAUUUCCCAUUUUUCUAAAAGUCAAACCCUCGAUUAAUGGGCAUCUCUGUUCAUAACCAGUCCUGGAAGAAAAAGACCUUUCUCACCUUGCACGACAGAACUGAGAGUUCUGACUCCAAAUUGCUCACUAUUUACCUGAAAAGUGGGACACUUCAAAGUUUCCCAGAAAGUAGAAGGAACAUCUCCAACAGUGCCAACUGAGCACACUAAUUUGAAUAAGAUCCCUUGUUGGCUUGCCUUUUACCUCCAGUGGAGACUCUGGAGGAUUAUUUAAAAUGCAGAUUUUUGUCUUCUCCAUUAAGAACAUCUCAGGUAAUACUGAGCGCUAGCUCUCUGCUAUUAACAGGUCUACAGGUAUUAACACGGCACUCAUCUCUCCUGCUAAUUUCUCCUGCCAAUCUUUGCCUUACAGUUCAAAAAAAUGGAUCAAAGCAUCAUCUGCUAGCUCGUAGCAUAAGUUUUUCCUGGAGUAGCAUCAUCCGUUAGCAGUCAGUCUAAUUUGAUUGUUUCCAAACCCGAAAGGACAGCUGUCAGCCUCCUCCCUCAAACUAACUCAAAGGCUAUAAUCAAGAGAUCUUCUCCAAGAAGUUGUUCAAAGCUUGGCUUAUCACUGUUCAGACAAUAAACUAGUCAAUUUACUCUAAUGGACAGGUGCAAU